This 275-nucleotide ribosomal RNA is filed under the name Mytilus galloprovincialis (Mediterranean mussel). RNAcentral describes it as "partial 16S ribosomal RNA". The stretch from base 32 to 275 matches the Rfam family "Bacterial large subunit ribosomal RNA", at positions 2048 to 2536 of the family's 2925-position model. Lineage: Eukaryota; Metazoa; Mollusca; Bivalvia; Mytilida; Mytilidae. The record is from RNAcentral.
GCUGUGUCUAAAAAUUCAAUUUAAACUAACUUAAAGGUGAAGAGGCCUUUAUGUAAAAGAAGGACGACAAGACCCUAUGAAGCUUUAUCUUAAUUGGAGCUUUCAGGCUCUUAUACGAUUUUGAUGGGAGAUCAGUAGAAAUAAGUCCUCUACUAUUAUAUUAAUCUUACUAGUAUUUCCUAACUUUAUAUGUGUGACUAGCUACUCUAGGGAUAACAGCGCAAUUUCUCCCGAAAGAUGGUAUUGGAGGGGAAGAUUGCGACCUCGAUGUUGGC